GGCAAACACUUCAGCAUACUGAUACCGUACUUUGCUGUUGGCAGUAUGGCGAGUUACAGCGCACCAAAUUGCGCCAAUCACGCGGAAGGUGGCAAAUCUUUUUACGCGGUGCCAUGCGGACGUACGAGACCGGCCGGCUCCGAAAAGGACCAGGAUAUGCGAGUGGCCUCGAAUUCUGCCUCCCAAGGCUCCAAGGACCAGUACUCAUCCCCUGCUGGCACCAUCCACUGCACAUCCAUUCACUCGUACGAAAUAAA
Long non-coding RNA from Dermacentor albipictus, 257 nucleotides. RefSeq lists it as uncharacterized. NCBI's taxonomy places the organism in Eukaryota, Metazoa, Arthropoda, Arachnida, Ixodida, Ixodidae. The record is from RefSeq and is a predicted model, not a curated record.